This 435-nucleotide ribosomal RNA is filed under the name uncultured bacterium. RNAcentral describes it as "partial 16S ribosomal RNA". It matches the Rfam family "Bacterial small subunit ribosomal RNA", at positions 28 to 507 of the family's 1533-position model. The record is from RNAcentral.
GAUGAACGCUGGCGGUAUGCUUAACACAUGCAAGUCGAACGGACUCUUCGGAGUUAGUGGCGGACGGGUGAGUAACGCGUGAGAAUCUGGCUUUGGGUUCGGGACAACCACUGGAAACGGUGGCUAAUACCGGAUGUGCCGAGAGGUAAAAGAGAAAUUGCCUGAAGAUGAGCUCGCGUCUGAUUAGCUAGUUGGUGAGGUAAAGGCUCACCAAGGCAGCGAUCAGUAGCUGGUCUGAGAGGAUGACCAGCCACACUGGGACUGAGACACGGCCCAGACUCCUACGGGAGGCAGCAGUGGGGAAUUUUCCGCAAUGGGCGAAAGCCUGACGGAGCAAUACCGCGUGAGGGAAGAAGGCUCUUGGGUUGUAAACCUCUCUUCUUAGGGAAGAACAAAAUGACGGUACCUAAGGAAUCAGCAUCGGCUAACUCCGUG